This 253-nucleotide ribosomal RNA is filed under the name uncultured bacterium. RNAcentral's name for it is "partial 16S ribosomal RNA". It matches the Rfam family "Bacterial small subunit ribosomal RNA", at positions 524 to 776 of the family's 1533-position model. The record is from RNAcentral.
UACGGGGGGGGCAAGCGUUGUUCGGAAUUACUGGGCGUAAAGGGCCAGUAGGCGGCCAACUAAGUCCGACGUGAAAUCCCCAGGCUCAACUUGGGAACUGCGUCGGAUACUGGAUGGCUUGAAUUCGGGAGAGGGAUGCGGAAUUCCAGGUGUAGCGGUGAAAUGCGCAGAUAUCAGGAGGAACACCAAUUGCGAAGGCAGCUCGCUGGGACGUUACUGACGCUGAGACGCGAAAGCGUGGGGAGCAAACAGG